Tachyglossus aculeatus (Australian echidna) is the source of this 138-nucleotide small nucleolar RNA. Lineage: Eukaryota; Metazoa; Chordata; Mammalia; Monotremata; Tachyglossidae. The record is from RefSeq and is a predicted model, not a curated record.
GGGCUCUCAGGGUCGCACCCGGAUAGUUUCCAGCACUCUACCAGUCUCGGCUAUGGGAGGGAAAGUCAAGCAGAAGCCUACCCAUUCCAUUCCUAGCUUGGGUAGUGGCUAGUGAGUGGAAGGCAAUCUGCUACAGGU